Molecule: long non-coding RNA, 395 nt
Organism: Camelus dromedarius (Arabian camel)
Lineage: Eukaryota; Metazoa; Chordata; Mammalia; Artiodactyla; Camelidae
Exons: 3
Source: RefSeq, a predicted model, not a curated record
GCGAAGACACUUGCAGCAAAGCAAAAUGAAUUCACAACGAUUGUAUCAGAGCUGCAGGUGUGAGAGAGCCUAAGCCUGUCUCAGAGUGCAGGGGACAAGUGGAAAGGAAUGUGUAAGAAUGCCGGUGAAUCAGUUAGAAGCAUGCUUCGAAGCUGUCCGUGUACUUGCCACCCAGAAGCAGAGCCUGGGAGCUACCGAAUUUCUCCAGAAUGCAGUUUACAUUCACCUUGACAAAUCCCUACCUACUCUCUGCUCCUCCUGUCCAUCUGUCUCCCUCCACUUUUCCCCUCCUCUCCUCCUCCCCCAUCUUCACCCUCCCUCGAUGCCCCAGCCUCUAUCACAGAACCUAGAGGAUCUCUGGCCCUCCUGCGUAUGCGCAGUCGGUGCCAGCUGGA